ACGGCUCAGUAACACGUGGACAACCUACCCUCAGAUCUGGGAUAAACCUGGGAAACUGGGUAUAAUACCGGAUAGGUCUUGGAUGCUGGAAUGCACCGAGGCCCAAAGCUCCGGCGUCUGAGGAUGGGUCUGCGGCCUAUCAGGGUAGUAGUGGGUGUAAAGUACCUACUAGCCUACGACGGGUACGGGUCGUGAGAGCGAGAGCCCGGAGAUGGAUUCUGAGACACGAAUCCAGGCCCUACGGGGUGCAGCAGGCGCGAAAACUUUACAAUGCCGGCAACGGCGAUAAGGGGACCUCGAGUGCCAGGAUACAAUCCUGGCUGUCGUAAUGCCUAAAAAGCAUUAUAUAGCAAGGGCCGGGCAAGACCGGUGCCAGCCGCCGCGGUAACACCGGCGGCUCGAGUGGUAACCGCUAUUAUUGGGUCUAAAGGGUCUGUAGCCGGCCUGGUAAGUCUUUUGGGAAAUCCGGCAGCUCAACUGUCGGGCUAUCAGAGGAUACUGCUAGGCUCGAGACCGGGAGAGGUGAGAGGUACUUCAUGGGUAGGGGUGAAAUCUUGUAAUCCUUGAAGGACCACCAGUGGCGAAGGCGUCUCACCAGAACGGAUCUGACGGCAAGGGACGAAAGCUAGGGGCACGAACCGGAUUAGAUACCCGGGUAGUCCUAGCCGUAAACGAUACUCGCUAGGUGUCGGCCACRGUGSGACCGUGGUCGGUGCCGUAGGGAAGCCGUGAAGCGAGCCACCUGGGAAGUACGGCCGCAAGGCUGAAACUUAAAGGAAUUGGCGGGGGAGCAC
This 794-nucleotide ribosomal RNA is filed under the name uncultured archaeon. RNAcentral describes it as "bacterial SSU rRNA". It matches the Rfam family "Archaeal small subunit ribosomal RNA", at positions 85 to 879 of the family's 1478-position model. The record is from RNAcentral.